AACGAACGCUGGCGGCAGGCCUAACACAUGCAAGUCGAACGCCCGUAGCAAUACGGGAGUGGCAGACGGGUGAGUAACGCGUGGGAACGUGCCCUUCGGUUCGGAAUAACUCAGGGAAACUUGAGCUAAUACCGGAUACGUCCGUAAGGAGAAAGAUUUAUCGCCGAAGGAUCGGCCCGCGUCGGAUUAGCUAGUUGGUGAGGUAACGGCCCACCAAGGCGACGAUCCGUAGCUGGUCUGAGAGGAUGAUCAGCCACACUGGGACUGAGACACGGCCCAGACUCCUACGGGAGGCAGCAGUGGGGAAUAUUGGACAAUGGGCGAAAGCCUGAUCCAGCCAUGCCGCGUGAGUGAAGAAGGCCUUAGGGUUGUAAAGCUCUUUCAGC
RNAcentral lists this ribosomal RNA (386 nucleotides) under uncultured bacterium. RNAcentral describes it as "bacterial SSU rRNA". It matches the Rfam family "Bacterial small subunit ribosomal RNA", at positions 29 to 440 of the family's 1533-position model. The record is from RNAcentral.